This 73-nucleotide transfer RNA is filed under the name Stegodyphus mimosarum. It matches the Rfam family "tRNA". From Rfam's summary of the family: Transfer RNA (tRNA) molecules are approximately 80 nucleotides in length. Their secondary structure includes four short double-helical elements and three loops (D, anti-codon, and T loops). Lineage: Eukaryota; Metazoa; Arthropoda; Arachnida; Araneae; Eresidae. The record is from Rfam by way of RNAcentral.
GCCUUCAGGGUGUAAUGCUUAGCACGCUCGACUCGUAUUCGAGAGGUCCGUGGUUCGAGUCCCGGCGAGAGCA